GGUUAACAGUUUUCAGCUAUGAUGAUGAAUCCUAGCAACAGAUCAGAUUAAAACACUUUAUUUCCACUGUUUGCCACCUUGUAAAGUUCUAGCUUCCAUUGCUACAUUCAUUAGCUCCACGUCGUCUUCUCUAUUUUUUGUGGAAGCCUUACAGUGCUACAUACAGGCCUGGCAUAUGUACUACAGCAUUUCAAGUGUUUGGUUACAGAAGGGA
Molecule: long non-coding RNA, 214 nt
Organism: Thalassophryne amazonica
Lineage: Eukaryota; Metazoa; Chordata; Actinopteri; Batrachoidiformes; Batrachoididae
Exons: 3
Source: RefSeq, a predicted model, not a curated record